UCUAAUAUGGCAGAUUAGUGCAUUGGAUUUAAACCCCACAUAUAAAGAUAUAGCCUUUUUUUAGAA
This 66-nucleotide transfer RNA is filed under the name Euaesthetus ruficapillus. RNAcentral's name for it is "tRNA-Leu". The record is from RNAcentral. Lineage: Eukaryota; Metazoa; Arthropoda; Insecta; Coleoptera; Staphylinidae.